GGGGCUGUAGUGUAACUUGGCUAUCACUCGACCUUCGGGGGGUCGAAAUCGGGGUUCAAAUCCUCGCAGCCCCA
Molecule: transfer RNA, 74 nt
Filed under: Candidatus Woesearchaeota archaeon
Lineage: Archaea; Nanobdellati; Candidatus Woesearchaeota
Description: tRNA-Pro
Rfam family: tRNA
About the family: Transfer RNA (tRNA) molecules are approximately 80 nucleotides in length.
Source: RNAcentral